RNAcentral lists this transfer RNA (67 nucleotides) under Neojurtina typica. Its description in RNAcentral is "tRNA-Asp". It matches the Rfam family "tRNA". From Rfam's summary of the family: Transfer RNA (tRNA) molecules are approximately 80 nucleotides in length. Their secondary structure includes four short double-helical elements and three loops (D, anti-codon, and T loops). The record is from RNAcentral. Lineage: Eukaryota; Metazoa; Arthropoda; Insecta; Hemiptera; Pentatomidae.
AAGGAAUUAGUUUAAGUUAAAACAUUAACUUGUCAAGUUAAAAUUAUUUAUAAAUAAAUAUCCCUUG